This 230-nucleotide non-coding RNA is filed under the name Bacillus pumilus. RNAcentral describes it as "T-box sequence". It matches the Rfam family "T-box leader". Rfam says of the family: Uncharged tRNA acts as the effector for transcription antitermination of genes in the T-box leader family. T-boxes are found upstream of many aminoacyl-tRNA synthetase genes and some amino acid biosynthetic genes usually in Gram-positive bacteria. The record is from RNAcentral. Lineage: Bacteria; Bacillati; Bacillota; Bacilli; Caryophanales; Bacillaceae.
AUAAACGUUUGAAAGGGACACUCGCAGUUGUCAUAUACGUAAUAAAGCGAAUCAGGGGUGGUGGAAGCCUGACAUUACGAGAUGCUGCAAUGAGAUCACCCCUUUAGUUCCUUUUCUGAAAUGAUCAGUAAGAAAAGGCGUCUGAUCACGUUACGAUUUUAGAGUGGAUAAGCGGCAAUAGCGCUUGUCUAAAAGGGUGGUACCGCGAGACAAGCCUUCUCGUCCCUUAU